RNAcentral lists this ribosomal RNA (1225 nucleotides) under metagenome. RNAcentral describes it as "bacterial SSU rRNA". It matches the Rfam family "Bacterial small subunit ribosomal RNA", at positions 279 to 1498 of the family's 1533-position model. The record is from RNAcentral.
ACGUCUAGGCGGAUUGAGAGGUUGACCGCCAACACUGGGACUGAGACACUGCCCAGACUCCUACGGGAGGCUGCAGUCGAGAAUCAUUCGCAAUGGGCGAAAGCCUGACGAUGCGACGCCGUGUGAACGAAGAAGGCCUUCGGGUUGUAAAGUUCUUUCGCCAGGGAACAAGGGACAGUGACGAAUAAUCAUUGGACUUGAGGGUACCUGGAAAAGAAGCACCGGCUAACUCCGUGCCAGCAGCUGCGGUAAUACGGAGGGUGCAAGCGUUAAUCGGAUUCAUUGGGCGUAGGGGGCGUAGGCUGGAAUGCCAGUCAGUUGUGAAAUACCAGUGCUCAACAUUGGUGCUGCAAUUGAUACUGCAUUUCUUGAGGAUAGGCGGAGAAAAUGGAAUUUCAUGUGUAGCGGUGAAAUGCGUAGAUACAUGGAGGAACACCGGUGGCGAAAGCGGUUUUCUAGCUUAUCCCUGACGCUGAGGCCCGAAAGCUAGGGGAGCAAACAGGAUUAGAUGCCCUGGUAGUCCUAGCCGUAAACGAUGUAUACUUGGUGUAGCUGGUCUCAACCCCAGCUGUGCCGGAGCUAACGCGUUAAGUAUACCGCCUGGGGAGUACGCGCGCAAGCGUUAAACUCAAAAGAAUUGACGGGGGCCCGCACAAGCAGUGGAGCAUGUGGUUUAAUUCGAUGCAACGCGAAGAACCUUACCCAGGUUUGACAUGCAGAGGCCGACAGCAGAGAUGUUGUUUUCCGUAAGGACCUCUGCACAGGUGCUGCAUGGCUGUCGUCAGCUCGUGCCGUGAGGUGUUGGGUUAAGUCCCGCAACGAGCGCAACCCUUAUCAUUAGUUGCCAGCGAGUAAUGUCGGGAACUCUAGUGAGACUGCCUCGGUUAACGAGGAGGAAGGUGAGGAUGAGGUCAAGUCAGCAUGGCCCUUAUGCCUGGGGCUACACACGUGCUACAAUGGUCGGCGCAAUAGGAAGCGAUACCGCGAGGUGGAGCAAAUCCAGAAAGCCGGCCCUAGUUCGGAUUGGAGUCUGCAACUCGACUCCAUGAAGUUGGAAUUGCUAGUAAUGGCGCGUCUGCAAUAGCGCCGUGAAUACGUUCCCGGGCCUUGUACACACCGCCCGUCACAUCAUGGAAGUUGGUUUUGCCCGAAGUCGCCGCCUCAACCGCAAGGAGAGAGGCGCCGAAGGUAAGGCUGAUGACUAGGAUGAAGUCGUAACAAGGUA